RNAcentral lists this ribosomal RNA (542 nucleotides) under Botryosphaeria dothidea. Its description in RNAcentral is "eukaryotic LSU rRNA". The stretch from base 168 to 321 matches the Rfam family "5.8S ribosomal RNA". Lineage: Eukaryota; Fungi; Ascomycota; Dothideomycetes; Botryosphaeriales; Botryosphaeriaceae. The record is from RNAcentral.
GGGCUCGGCCCGAUCCUCCCACCCUUUGUGUACCUACCUCUGUUGCUUUGGCGGGCCGCGGCCCUCCGCGGCCGCCCCCCUCCCCGGGGGGGUGGCCAGCGCCCGCCAGAGGACCAUCAAACUCCAGUCAGUAAACGAUGCAGUCUGAAAAACAUUUAAUAAACUAAAACUUUCAACAACGGAUCUCUUGGUUCUGGCAUCGAUGAAGAACGCAGCGAAAUGCGAUAAGUAAUGUGAAUUGCAGAAUUCAGUGAAUCAUCGAAUCUUUGAACGCACAUUGCGCCCUUUGGUAUUCCGAAGGGCAUGCCUGUUCGAGCGUCAUUACAACCCUCAAGCUCUGCUUGGUAUUGGGCACCGUCCUUUGCGGGCGCGCCUCAAAGACCUCGGCGGUGGCGUCUUGCCUCAAGCGUAGUAGAACAUACAUCUCGCUUCGGAGCGCAGGGCGUCGCCCGCCGGACGAACCUUCUGAACUUUUCUCAAGGUUGACCUCGGAUCAGGUAGGGAUACCCGCUGAACUUAAGCAUAUCAAUAAGCGGAGGAAA